Molecule: ribosomal RNA, 469 nt
Filed under: uncultured bacterium
Lineage: Bacteria
Description: partial 16S ribosomal RNA
Rfam family: Bacterial small subunit ribosomal RNA
Source: RNAcentral
GACGAACACUGGCGGCGUGCUUAACACAUGCAAGUCGAACGGUGAAGCGAGUGCUUGCACUCGUGGAUCAGUGGCGAACGGGUGAGUAACACGUGAGUAACCUGCCCAUCACUCUGGGAUAAGCACUGGAAACGGUGUCUAAUACUGGAUACGACCAACCCUUGCAUGGGGUGUUGGUGGAAAGAUUUAUCGGUGAUGGAUGGACUCGCGGCCUAUCAGCUUGUUGGCGGGGUAAUGGCCCACCAAGGCGACGACGGGUAGCCGGCCUGAGAGGGUGACCGGCCACACUGGGACUGAGACACGGCCCAGACUCCUACGGGAGGCAGCAGUGGGGAAUAUUGCACAAUGGGCGAAAGCCUGAUGCAGCGACGCCGCGUGAGGGAUGACGGCCUUCGGGUUGUAAACCUCUUUCAGCAGGGAAGAAGCGAAAGUGACGGUACCUGCAGAAGAAGCACCGGCUAACUACGUG